UACGUAGGGGGCGAGCGUUGUCCGGAGUUACUGGGCGUAAAGGGCAUGCAGGCGGUCGGACGCGUUUCGGGUGACAGCGGGUGGCUUAACUACCCGAGUGGUCGAAAGACGGUUUGACUUGAGGACGCGAGAGGGACACGGAAUUCCGGGUGGAGUGGUGAAAUGCGUAGAUAUCUGGAGGAACACCGGUGGCGAAGGCGGCAUUCUGGACCAAUAUUGACGCUGAGGAGCGAAAGCCAGGGGAGCAAACGGG
This 253-nucleotide ribosomal RNA is filed under the name uncultured bacterium. Its description in RNAcentral is "partial 16S ribosomal RNA". It matches the Rfam family "Bacterial small subunit ribosomal RNA", at positions 524 to 776 of the family's 1533-position model. The record is from RNAcentral.